UUGGCUUGGCUCGCGGGUGGGCACCAUGCAAGGCCUCGUCCAACCUUGGCUUGGCUCGCGGGCACCAAGCAAGGCCCCGUGGCACGCGUCGCGUGUCUUGGCUUGGCUCACGGGCGGGCACCAAGCAAGGCCCCGUGGCACGUGUCGCGUGUCUUGGCUUGGCUCACGGGCGGGCACCAAGCAAGGCCCCGCGGCACCUUGGCAUGGCUCGCGGGAGGGCACCAUGCAAGGUCCCGUGCCACCUUGGCUUGGCUCGCGGGCACCAAGCAAGGCCCCGUGGCACGCGUCGCGUGUCUUGGCUUGGCUCACGGGCGGGCACCAUGCAAGGCCUCGUGCCACCUUGGCUUGGCUCGCGGGCACCAAGCAAGGCCCCGUGGCACCUUGGCUUGGCUCGCGGGCGGGCACCAUGCAAGGCCUCGUGCCACCUUGGCUUGGCUCGCGGGCACCAAGCAAGGCCCCGUGGCACCUUGGC
Molecule: long non-coding RNA, 472 nt
Filed under: Vitis vinifera (wine grape)
Lineage: Eukaryota; Viridiplantae; Streptophyta; Magnoliopsida; Vitales; Vitaceae
Description: long non-coding RNA (VVIN_LNC008153)
Source: RNAcentral